This 1533-nucleotide ribosomal RNA is filed under the name Aeribacillus kexueae. Its description in RNAcentral is "bacterial SSU rRNA". It matches the Rfam family "Bacterial small subunit ribosomal RNA". The record is from RNAcentral. Lineage: Bacteria; Bacillati; Bacillota; Bacilli; Caryophanales; Bacillaceae.
GGUUUUGAGUUUUAUUAUCUGCUCAGGACGAACGCUGGCGGCGUGCCUAAUACAUGCAAGUCGAGCGAACAGAUAGGGAGCUUGCUCCCUUGACGUUAGCGGCGGACGGGUGAGUAACACGUGGGCAACCCUGCCUGUAAAGACUGGGAUAACUUCGGGAAACCGGAGCUAAUACCGGAUAAUUCCUACCCUCGCCAUGAGGGAAGGUUGAAAGAUGGCUUCGGCUAUCACUUACAGAAUGGGCCCGCGGCGCCAUUAGCUAGUUGGUGAGGUAACGGCUCACCAAGGGCGACGAUGCGUAGCCGACCUGAGAGGGUGAUCGGCCACACUGGGACUGAGACACGGCCCAGACUCCUACGGGAGGCAGCAGUAGGGAAUCUUCCGCAAUGGACGAAAGUCUGACGGAGCAACGCCGCGUGAGCGAUGAAGGUCUUCGGAUCGUAAAGCUCUGUUGUUAGGGAAGAACAAGUACCGUUCGAAUAGGUCGGUACCUUGACGGUACCUAACCAGAAAGCCACGGCUAACUACGUGCCAGCAGCCGCGGUAAUACGUAGGUGGCAAGCGUUGUCCGGAAUUAUUGGGCGUAAAGCGCGCGCAGGCGGUUCCUUAAGUCUGAUGUGAAAGCCCACGGCUCAACCGUGGAGGGUCAUUGGAAACUGGGGAACUUGAGUGCAGGAGAGGAGAGCGGAAUUCCACGUGUAGCGGUGAAAUGCGUAGAGAUGUGGAGGAACACCAGUGGCGAAGGCGGCUCUCUGGCCUGUAACUGACGCUGAGGCGCGAAAGCGUGGGGAGCGAACAGGAUUAGAUACCCUGGUAGUCCACGCCGUAAACGAUGAGUGCUAAGUGUUAGAGGGUUUCCGCCCUUUAGUGCUGCAGCUAACGCAUUAAGCACUCCGCCUGGGGAGUACGGUCGCAAGACUGAAACUCAAAGGAAUUGACGGGGGCCCGCACAAGCGGUGGAGCAUGUGGUUUAAUUCGAAGCAACGCGAAGAACCUUACCAGGUCUUGACAUCCUUCGCUACCUCUAGAGAUAGAGGGUUCCCCUUCGGGGGACGGAGUGACAGGUGGUGCAUGGUUGUCGUCAGCUCGUGUCGUGAGAUGUUGGGUUAAGUCCCGCAACGAGCGCAACCCUUGACCUUAGUUGCCAGCAUUCAGUUGGGCACUCUAGGGUGACUGCCGGUGACAAACCGGAGGAAGGUGGGGAUGACGUCAAAUCAUCAUGCCCCUUAUGACACUGGGCUACACACGUGCUACAAUGGAUGGUACAAAGGGCUGCGAAGCCGCGAGGCUAAGCCAAUCCCAUAAAACCAUUCUCAGUUCGGAUUGCAGGCUGCAACUCGCCUGCAUGAAGCCGGAAUCGCUAGUAAUCGCGGAUCAUGUCAUGCCGCGGUGAAUACGUUCCCGGGCCUUGUACACACCGCCCGUCACACCACGAGAGUUUGUAACACCCGAAGUCGGUGGGGUAACCUUUUGGAGCCAGCCGCCUAAGGUGGGACAGAUGAUUGGGGUGAAGUCGUACAAAGGUAACCAAAA